RNAcentral lists this ribosomal RNA (377 nucleotides) under uncultured bacterium. Its description in RNAcentral is "bacterial SSU rRNA". It matches the Rfam family "Bacterial small subunit ribosomal RNA", at positions 523 to 898 of the family's 1533-position model. The record is from RNAcentral.
AUACGUAGGGGGCGAGCGUUGUCCGAAGUUACUGGGCGUAAAGCGCGCGUAGGCGGCUCUUUAAGUGAUUGGUGAAAUCCCCGGGCUCAACCCGGGGUGGUCUGGUCAUACUGGGGAGCUAGAGUAUGGGAGGGGAGAGCGGAACUCCUGGUGUAGCGGUGAUAUGCGUAGAGAUCAGGAAGAACACCCGUGGCGAAGGCGGCUCUCUGGACCAUAACUGACGCUGAGGUGCGAAAGCCAGGGUAGCGAACGGGAUUAGAUACCCCGGUAGUCCUGGCCCUAAACGAUGGAUACUAGGUGUGGCGGGUAUCGACCCCUGCCGCGCCGCAGCUAACGCAAUAAGUAUCCCGCCUGGGGAGUACGGCCGCAAGGUUGAA